RNAcentral lists this ribosomal RNA (468 nucleotides) under uncultured bacterium. RNAcentral describes it as "partial 16S ribosomal RNA". It matches the Rfam family "Bacterial small subunit ribosomal RNA", at positions 28 to 507 of the family's 1533-position model. The record is from RNAcentral.
GACGAACGCUGGCGGCGUGCUUAACACAUGCAAGUCGAACGGAAAGGUCCUGCUUUGGUGGGGUGCUCGAGUGGCGAACGGGUGAGUAACACGUGAGUAACCUGUCCCUGACUUUGGGAUAACUUCAUGCAACUGGGGCUAAUACCGGAUAGGAGCUCCUGCUGCAUGGUGGGGGUUGGAAGGUUUCGGCGGUUGGGGUUGGAAUCGCGUCUCAUUAGCUUGUUGGUUUGGUAGUGGCUUAGCAAGGCUUUGACGCGUAGCCGGGCUGAGAGGGUGACCGGCCACGUUAGGCUUGAGAUGCGGCACGGCCCACAACGGGAGGCAGGGGUGGGGUAGAUUGUACUGUGGGCUGAAGCCUGAUGUAGUCACGCAGCGUGGGGUAUGACGGGAUGCGGGUUGUAUUCCAAUGUCGCCUGUGACGAGACGUGAGUGACGGUAAUGGGUGAAGAAGCACCGGCUAACUACGUG